Molecule: ribosomal RNA, 467 nt
Filed under: uncultured bacterium
Lineage: Bacteria
Description: partial 16S ribosomal RNA
Rfam family: Bacterial small subunit ribosomal RNA
Source: RNAcentral
GACGAACGCUGGCGGCGUGCUUAACACAUGCAAGUCGAACGGAAAGGCCCCAGCUUGCUGGAGUCCUCGAGUGGCGAACGGGUGAGUAACACGUGGGUAAUCUGCCCUGCACCCUGGGAUAAGCCUGUGAAACUGGGUCUAAUACUGGAUAUGACCUUUCUCCUUAUGGUGUGCGGUGGAAAGUUUAUCGGUGUAGGAUGAGCCCGCGGCCUAUCAGCUUGUUGGCGGGGUGAUGGCAUACCAAGGCGACGACGGGUAGCCGACCUGAGAGGGCGCUCGGCCACAUUGGGACUGGAAUACGGCCCAGACUCCUACGGGAGGCAACGGUGGGGAAUAUUGCACUAUGGGCGGAAGCCUAGUGCAGCGACGCCACGUGGGGGAUGACAGCCUUCGGGUUGUAAACCUCUUUCAGCAGGGACGAAGCGUAAGUGACGGUACCUGCAGAAGAAGCACCGGCUAACUAUGUG